AACGAACGCUGGCGGCAGGCCUAACACAUGCAAGUCGAGCGCCCAGCAAUGGGAGCGGCGGACGGGUGAAUAACACGUGGGAAUAUGCCUUUCGGUACGGAAUAACGCAGGGAAACUUGCGCUAAUACCGUAUACGCCCUCAGGGGGAAAGAUUUAUCGCCGAAAGAUUAGCCCGCGUAGGAUUAGCUAGUUGGUGAGGUAACGCCCACCAAGGCUACGAUCCUUAGCUGGUUUGAGAGAACGAUCAGCCACACUGGGACUGAGACACGGCCCAGACUCCUACGGGAGGCAGCAGUGGGGAAUCUUGGACAAUGGAGGAAACUCUGAUCCAGCCAUGCCGCGUGAGUGAUGAAGGCCUU
Molecule: ribosomal RNA, 359 nt
Filed under: uncultured bacterium
Lineage: Bacteria
Description: bacterial SSU rRNA
Rfam family: Bacterial small subunit ribosomal RNA
Source: RNAcentral